RNAcentral lists this ribosomal RNA (728 nucleotides) under uncultured Peptococcaceae bacterium. RNAcentral's name for it is "bacterial SSU rRNA". It matches the Rfam family "Bacterial small subunit ribosomal RNA", at positions 43 to 738 of the family's 1533-position model. The record is from RNAcentral. Lineage: Bacteria; Bacillati; Bacillota; Clostridia; Eubacteriales; Peptococcaceae.
CGUGCUUAACACAUGCAAGUCGAACGAAAAGAGGGAAAGAGCUUGCUCUUUCCGGAAUUGAGUGGCAAACGGGUGAGUAACACGUAAACAACCUGCCUUCAGGAUGGGGACAACAGACGGAAACGACUGCUAAUACCGAAUAAGUUCCAAGAGCCGCAUGGCCCAUGGAAGAAAAGGUGGCCUCUACCUGUAAGCUAUCGCCUGAAGAGGGGUUUGCGCCUGAUUAGCUGGUUGGAGGGGUAACGGCCCACCAAGGCGACGAUCAGUAGCCGGUCUGAGAGGAUGAACGGCCACACUGGAACUGAGACACGGUCCAGACUCCUACGGGAGGCAGCAGUGGGGAAUCUUCCGCAAUGGGCGAAAGCCUGACGGAGCAACGCCGCGUGAGUGAUGACGGCCUUCGGGUUGUAAAACUCUGUGAUCCGGGACGAAAAGGCAGAGUGCGAAGAACAAACUGCAUUGACGGUACCGGAAAAGCAAGCCACGGCUAACUACGUGCCAGCAGCCGCGGUAAUACGUAGGUGGCAAGCGUUGUCCGGAAUUAUUGGGCGUAAAGCGCGCGCAGGCGGCUUCCCAAGUCCCUCUUAAAAGUGCGGGGCUUAACCCCGUGAUGGGAAGGAAACUGGGAAGCUGGAGUAUCGGAGAGGAAAGUGGAAUUCCUAGUGUAGCGGUGAAAUGCGUAGAGAUUAGGAAGAACACCGGUGGCGAAGGCGACUUUCUGGACGAAA